Molecule: ribosomal RNA, 511 nt
Filed under: uncultured bacterium
Lineage: Bacteria
Description: bacterial SSU rRNA
Rfam family: Bacterial small subunit ribosomal RNA
Source: RNAcentral
GAUCAUGGCUCAGGAUGAACGCUAGCGGCAGGCUUAACACAUGCAAGUCGAGGGGCAGCGGGAUGUAGCAAUACAUUGCCGGCGACCGGCGGAUGGGUGCGUAACGCGUAUGCAACCUACCUUAUACAGGGGAAUAACCUUUCGAAAGGGAGACUAACACCCCAUAGUAUUGAUUUAAGGCAUCUUAGAUUAAUUAAAUAUUUAUAGGUAUAAGAUGGGCAUGCGUAUGAUUAGCUAGUUGGUAAGGUAACGGCUUACCAAGGCGACGAUCAUUAGGGGUUCUGAGAGGAAGGUCCCCCACACUGGUACUGAGACACGGACCAGACUCCUACGGGAGGCAGCAGUGAGGAAUAUUGGUCAAUGGGCGCAAGCCUGAACCAGCCAUGCCGCGUGCAGGAAAGACGGCCUUAUGGGUUGUAAACUGCUUCUACAUAAGGCUAACCGUAUAUUUGCGAAUAUACCUGAAUGUAUUAUGAGAAUAAGGAUCGGCUAACUCCGUGCCAGCCGCCGC